AGAGCUCGCCCAGCUCUGAGGCGCAGGAAUUCAAUAAAGAAGAUGGCAGCUCUCACUCCAAGGAAGAGGAAGCAGGAUUUUUUGAACUGUGACAGCCUUUUGCUCUUCACUGAAAAUCUGUUUCCAUCACCUAAUAAAAAGCAGUGUUUUUAUCAAAACAGUGAUAAAAAUGAAGAAAACCUGCAUUUCUCUCAACAAGGGCAUUUUGUUUUAAGUGCACUCAAAACAUCUGAAAUAAAUAGACGGCCAUCAGCAAAUCAAGGCUCACCAUUUAAAUCUGCUGCGUCCACUGUAUCUUUUUACAACCAAAAUAAGCGGUACCUCAAUCCAUUGGAGAGGAAGCUGAUAAAAGAGAGAUCUACUUAUCUAAAAAAUAAUGUUGAAGAUAAAUCUUUUCCCAUUGUGACAGAAAAAAUGCAGGGAAAACCAGUCUGCCCCAAGAAGAACAACAAAAAGCCGCAGAACAGUUUAACUGCGAAGUAUCAACCAAGGUAUAGACACAUCAAGACUGUAUCAAGGAAUCCUAAAAAUUCCAAGCAAAAUCGAGUAGUCUGUAAGCUAGUUGUGGAGAAAGAGAAUAAUUGCUAUUCAGCUGAAAAUAAUCCCAAUGCUCCUCGGGUUCUAAGCCAAAAAAUGAAAGCACAAGUUACACUCCAGGGUGGAGCAGCAUUUUUUGUUAGUAGAAAAAAAUCCUCUCUUAGAAAAUGGUCCAUGGAAAAUGAGCCAUCACUGGGACUCACCCAAAAGAAUAAAUCAGAAUUGAUUGAAGAUUCUGAUGUAGAGACUGUCAGGGAAAAAAAAACACUUGAGACAAGGCAAGUGCCAAAGUGCUUGUUCCUAGAAGAGAAAUUGAACAUUGAGCUACUGAAUGCAAGCAGUAAAAAUCAAGAGAAAUUAAUAAAGGACUCAUCAGGUGACAGCGUUUCUCCAAAGGAAUAUGAAGUUGAUAAAAAUAAGUCUUUUCCUUCAGAGGAUUCUCUUGGUGAGAAGGCAAUUUCUCCUAAGUCCACUGUCUAUCCAAUCUUCAAUGCAUCUUCAGUCAAUUCGAAAAGAUCUUUAGGUGAAGAACAGUCUUCUGUGGGAUCUGUCAACUUCUUGAAACAGACCAAUAUUCAGAAAAAUACUAACACCAGAGAUACGAGUAAAAAAACAAAAGACCAACUCGUCAUUGACGCUGGUCAGAAACAUUUUGGGGCUACUGUGUGUAAGUCUUGUGGCAUGAUAUAUACUGCUUCCAACCCUGAAGAUGAAAUGCAACAUGUACAGCAUCACCACAGAUUUCUGGAAGGAAUCAAAUAUGUGGGUUGGAAGAAAGAACAUGUAGUAGCAGAGUUUUGGGAUGGGAAAAUCGUGUUGGUUCUACCACGUGAUCCAAGCUUUGCUAUCAAAAAGGUAGAAGAUGUCCUAGAACUUGUUGAUAAUGAAUUGGGCUUCCAGCAAGUUGUUCCUAAAUGUCCAAACAAAAUAAAAUUUUUCUUUUUAUAUCUGAUGAAAAGCAAGUAGUUGGGUGUUUAAUUGCAGAACCCAUCAAACAGGCCUUUCGUGUCCUGUCUGAACCAACUGGUAUGCAAUCCCCAAACUCUAAAGAAUGUCCUAGGGCUUGGCAAUGUUCAGAUGUACCAGAACCUGCAGUCUGUGGGAUAAGUAGAAUCUGGGUUUUCAGAUUGAAGAGAAGAAAGCGCAUUGCAAGACAACUGGUUGAUACUCUCAGGAAUUGCUUCAUGUUUGCCUGUUUUCUCAGCUCUGAUGAAAUAGCAUUUUCUGACCCAACACCAGAUGGCAAGUUAUUUGCAACAAAGUACUGUAACACUCCUAAUUUUCUUAUAUAUAAUUUUAAUAGUUAAAGCUGAUUUCAGUUAUAAAGCAGUUACUAUCUGGAUAAGUUCAGAGAGAUCUUUAUUAUAAAAUACAAACUAUU
RNA transcript from Sapajus apella (tufted capuchin), 1918 nucleotides. It is a transcript of the gene named N-acetyltransferase ESCO2 pseudogene, with no coding region annotated. Lineage: Eukaryota; Metazoa; Chordata; Mammalia; Primates; Cebidae. The transcript has a single exon. The record is from RefSeq and is a predicted model, not a curated record.